CCUACGGGUGGCAGCAGUGGGGAAUAUUGCACAAUGGGGGGAACCCUGAUGCAGCGACGCCGCGUGGGUGAGGAAGUACUUCGGUAUGUAAAGCCCUAUCAGCAGGGAAGAAAAUGACGGUAACUGACUAAGAAGCCCCGGCUAACUACGCGCCAGCAGCCGCGGGCAGAAGUAGGGGGCAAGCGUUAUCCGGAUUUACUGGGUGUAAAGGGAGCGUAGACGGCGUGCCAAGGCGGAUGUGAAAGGCCGGGGCUCAACCCCGGGACUGCAUUGGAAAAGGGCAUGCUGGAGUGCCGGAGGGGCUAGCGGAAUUCCUAGUGUAGCGGUGAAAUGCGUAGAUAUUAGGAGGAACACCGGUGGCGAAGGCGGCUUGCUGGACGGUAACUGACGUUGAGGCUCGAAAGCGUGGGGAGCAAACAGGAUUAGAUACCCCGGUAGUC
This 440-nucleotide ribosomal RNA is filed under the name uncultured bacterium. Its description in RNAcentral is "partial 16S ribosomal RNA". It matches the Rfam family "Bacterial small subunit ribosomal RNA", at positions 338 to 795 of the family's 1533-position model. The record is from RNAcentral.